GGAAAAAUCCAAGCUCAAGAAAGGUGGUCAGAUGUGAAUUUCCUGACCAAAACUACGUUUGUGAUAUCCAAACCUACAUAAAUUCAAUAUUGACAUAGUAAAAGAAAGUGUACUUUUGUACAGUAAGAAUGUCAGAUUAAAGCAUAAUAUAUGUUUCCAGGUCAGAAGAUUUAAACUGAACAGUGCUGGGUAUGGCAAAGACAGUGCACCAUUGUAAGAUAUUGUAACAACUUAAAUUAAAGUAUGGUAUAUUUUCCAAGUUAAAUCAUUCAAGAUAUUGUCAAGAUGUAAAAAAAUCCACAGAAAAAUAUAUACGUGUAAAAAAACAAUCCACAAAAGAGUAUGCAUAAGAAAUGUACGGUAAGCUUAACAGUUGCAAAGCCAGAUUCAUUAUGAUAUAAUAUUUAUUGAUUAUUUCCAAAAGAUUUUAUAACAAUAAAGUGUUUCUUGGAAUUGUACAAUUACUACAAUUUGUUUCUUUCUAAGUCAAUAUAAAUGUUUUGUAGAAACGGUUUGAUAUCGAUAUCAUUGAAGAAACUUCAUGGAGAGUAAUAUAUAUGAUAAGUACUUCUUCAACUUUUCAUUUUUUAGACCAGAGUAUUCCUUGUUUGUUGGAGAAUUAUCAGAUGAUGUUGAUGACUAUGUUUUAUAUCAGGCAUUUGCUAAGAGAUAUAGGUCAUGUAGAUCUGUUAAAAGUAAGUUUGUUGCUAUGGAUGUGUUAUAGUAGGUAUUUUCUAAGAGAUAUAGAGGUUCCUGUAGUGUAGACCUAAGGGUAUCUACAUUGUGCCUUAGGUUACAAGCACACAUUUAAAAAUUACCUCAGGUCACAAGGUCAAUAUUAAGCAAACUUAAAUUAGCCUCUGUUACUUGUUCCGCUAUUAUCAGAUGAUGUUAACACCUGUUAUACUAGGCAUAUUUUUAGAGGUAAAGUUCAUAUAGAUCUUCUCAUAGUAAUCUGAGCCAACUAUAGUAAUUUCACUUUUUGGCCAUCCUUUUGUAGUAUAUAGAGAAAUCAUUAAUUGUUUUACAUUUUGUGCCUUAUAAUAGUAAUUGUUAUUUUCAUGUUUUGUAAUCAAUAAUUUAAAUGAAUAAUUAAGCUUCCUUUAUACUCAAUUUUGCCAUUUAUAAAAUCUAUGGUAUUAAAACAAUUUGUGUUGUUGAAUUUCCAUGUUUUAUUUUAUAUUUUCAUUUUCACUGACCUGUACUUUUUGUAUUGCAAUAUCGUAAAAGACACACUGAUGCAUUGAAACAUUGAGAAAAAAAAGCAAGAAAUAAUUUCAAAGACACUUCAAUUCUAUUGUAGUUGUGACUGAUAGUUCAGGACGAAGUAAAGGUUAUGGCUUUAUUAGAUUUACAGAAGAGAACGAUCAACAGAGAGCUCUUAUUGAAAUGCAACAUUUUCCUGGAAUAAGUCGCAGACCAAUUAGAGUUAGUUUAGCUACCCCUAAAAGGUAAUGUUUAUAUAUAUCUAUAUCUAUAUAUAUCUAUGUAAUCGUUUACAAUGAUAUACAUAUUUCUUCUUCUUUAAUAGUUGAUGAAAUAAACUAUGUAUCCUGCAAAUUACAUGCAAUGUCCUGCUUAUUGUGAAGGAUAAUACAGUGCCUUAUAGUUGACAUCCUCCUAAUUUGCUCUCUGGUAGAUGGGUUUUUUUUUUGGCAAUCAUACCACAUCUCCUUUUUAUUUAAAUUACUAUAUUGAACAGUUAUCAAACUUUCCAUUGUUAACAUGUCACAUUCCAACUCAGUUAUUAGAAAACUGUAAGUGCAGAUUCAGGUAGAAAUGCAAAAUUAGGACAAGUACUUUACCAAAAUCUACUUGCCUUUGGCAAUUUUUGUCUUGUCCCUACUGUUUGUGCUAAUUUUCAAUGUGCAGAAAUUAUUUGUUAUGGACAAGUACUAUAAAUUCAGAAAUUAUUGUGAGGUUUUUAUUAUUGCGAAUAAUGCGAAUGGGUGAAUAUCGCAAGAAUAAGAACUAGCAUUCUUAAAUCUGACACAAACAUUUAUAAACAGCUUUUCCUGAAAUUGCAAUAAUACUUAUGCAUUUUGGUCUAUCGAAGCAAAAACACAUAAUAAAUGCACUCAAUAAUUUCUGAAUUUACAGUAGUGGAAUAGGAACAUAAUCAAUUGUCUGAGAGAUUUUGGAACGAGUAAGGCAUGAAAUUUCCACAUCUCUGAAGCUGGAUAUAUAUAGACAGUAAUAAAAGAUUUAUUGUACUUUAUUAUUUCAGACCCCUGCCACCAGAUGUAUCUGGAGAUGUACAUUACAGUCAUUAUUAUGGUCAUAAUUACCCUUACAGUGCCUCAUAUUACCAGUAUUAUGGAUCCCAUACUGCACCUCAUUCAUCACAUGAUCAUGUAGGUGUUGUAAAAUCAUUUUCUUAUCAAAAUAUUGUUUAAAGUUUACAAUUUAUUGUCAAACCUUUUCUUUUUUUUUCGUACCAAAAUUAUGAUUGAGAAAGUAGCAUAUGAUAUAAUAGUGUUAACUACUACAAAAGAAAUAGAAGUACCAUUCUAAAAGAUCCAAAAUUUCAUUAAUUAUGCCUUCCAUAAGUAAUUUUUUUUAUUAUAAAUUAAAGCAAAACAGACAAGAAGAUUAGUUUUUGGAUAUUUUUCAUAUAAUAUAUGAAAAACACCCCAAAACUAUUAAAGUCUACAGAUUAUUUUCGUUCUUUUACCAUUCUCUAUGCAUGAUCUUUUAUAUUCGGUCAUGUUACUUAUUACAGGCAGUAGUUAUAGCUUCCACUAUACUAAUUAAAAAGCUUCAGAUCACAUUGACUUCUCAGGAAAGAAUAUUUAUAGCAGUUUAUAUUCCCAUCUGUUUUCUUACAAGAAGCUAUAUUGUAUUGUAUUUUAUGCAUCCAUCAGUUUCUGUGAUAAACAUGUAUGUGUGUAAUGAAGAGAGAACUAAGUGUUGACUAUUUUGUAGGCACACCAUGAACCCGCGACUGCAGAAGAUGAAAUGGAUACACUAGAAGGUGUGUACCUAAUAAAGUAUAAUGUAAAAAAUGGGAUCUUUAAUAUAAAACAAAAUAUUUGUUGCUAUUUUCAACUGGUUCUAUUUAAAUCAUUAAAUGAAUAGACCAUCAAAUUUAAGUUGUCUUUGUAAGUUGUAUGGGUUUUGGGUGUAUAGAAUAACCUUGUCUAUCUUUUAAUCUAUAUAUCAUGUCUAUUUAUCCCUCAUAUAAAUACAAAUUAAAGAUUUAAAGAAAGGGUUGUGAAUUCGUAUAAGUUAAAAGUUCAUAAGUUCUCAGCAUAUUAAUAGCCCCACGCCAUAAUUCCAAUGAUGAGCUUUGAAAGAGGAGUUCUUGUCCAUAAAAUGUUCCAAAAAGAUUUUGUUUUCAAUUAAGGGCUCCAAAGGUUGUAAAUGACUUUUUUUGUAAUGUAAAUUGUAUUCCAUGUUUUAUUGUAUUAUACAAUCAGAUGUCCAAAGAUAUCAGUAGACUCAGAUAUUGAAAACCGUUACUUCUUCAUCUGUCAAAGUUGAAUCUUGCGGAAAAAUUGGUUUUCUUUUCUUUUUUGUUUCCUUUUUUGUCUUGCCUGCAAAACAGGGGUUGCUUUUCCAGCAUCAACAAUUGUUAAGUUUUCUGCUUACAGUAAGUUAGUUUGAUGGAAAAUGAUUGUGAUAGAACAUUGAUAUUUAAUAUUAAGUUGCAUUACUAUCAGUAAAUGAUGACUAUAUUGAGGACCAGACCAAGGGAUGGUCCAGAUACUUUGAAUUACUUAGCCAUAUUCAAUGCUUUUUUUGUCCAUCAGAUUGUCUUUUUCAAAUAUUAUUCUGACAAGCGAGACAUAUCUGUGUCAACAGCUUUUUUUAAAGAAUAUUUUUAUUGAUUUAUACAAAAAAAAAAUGCUUUUAAAUGUUAAUUACUCCAAAUUUACUUUUAUUCCUACAUGUUUUAAUAGAAUAAUUUGUUACUUCAGAACCAGAAUUAGAGAUAGAUGUGUUUAGAUACAAUAAAGACUUUAUGGAACAAAGUGAGGUAUGUACAAAUAAAACCUUGCCACAGGUUUAUAAAAAUAAGGAGAUGCAGUAUGAGUGCCAAUGAGACAACACUCCAUCCAAGUCACAAUUUGUAAAAGUAAAUCAUUGAAGGUCAAAGUACGUCUUCAACACGGAUCCUUGGCUCACACUGAACAGCAAGCUAUAAAGGGCCCCAAAAAUAACUAGUGUAAAACCAUUCAAACAGGAUAACCAACAGUCUAGUCUAUAUAAAAAACAAGAAACAUUUAUGAACCACAUCAACAAUAUCAACCACUGAAAAUAACUGAAUAUUCUUUUUCAUUUAUAAUAUUCAAAGCUAAAACAGCUUAGGUUUUGUUCAAUAGACAAUGUUGUGAUAGUUUUUCUAUGUAAAGAAUCAUAAGGCUGUCUAAUUUCUUCUAGGAAUAAAUGAUAUCUCGGGUACCAGUCAGCAUCAUUUAUUACCAGAACAAUUAAAACUAUAUCAAGUAUUUACAGAAAAGUCUUGUAAACCAUGCAUCGCAUCUGUCAUCAUAUCAUAUUAAGGUACAUCAGAAUUUUUUUUAUUGUAAAUACUAAUAUCGUAUCAAAGAAUACUAAUGUCAUGUUAAGUUAUAAUUUUUUUAAGAAUUUUUUUUUUUCAUUUUCAGGAAGUGUUUGAAGCCAUUGAACUUUCAAGAUGGACACCAUUAGACAGUAUAACAUCAAAGUUACCUCCCCCUAUGUCUAUCUAGUCAUUAUCUCAACUAUGUCAACAGUAAUUGUGUCAUUCUAUUCAUAUCUCUUCAUUGUGUCAUUAUGUUUAUUACAUUUUAGUUCAUGUAUAUAUAUUUAAACAAACAAUAUUGACUGAAAGGAUUUCAGUUAUAAAACAGAAUGUGUUCAUUGUAUAUCAUAAUUGUCAACUCACUGCCAUCUACCAUUAUUAAUCAUCUGUCAUUGUCUAC
This 4907-nucleotide long non-coding RNA is filed under the name Mytilus galloprovincialis (Mediterranean mussel). Lineage: Eukaryota; Metazoa; Mollusca; Bivalvia; Mytilida; Mytilidae. The record is from RNAcentral.